This 292-nucleotide ribosomal RNA is filed under the name uncultured bacterium. RNAcentral describes it as "partial 16S ribosomal RNA". It matches the Rfam family "Bacterial small subunit ribosomal RNA", at positions 505 to 796 of the family's 1533-position model. The record is from RNAcentral.
GUGCCAGCAGCCGCGGUAAGACGUAGGGUGCAAGCGUUGUCCGGAUUUACUGGGCGUAAAGAGCGCGUAGGCGGCUCGUUAAGUGAGAAGUUAAAGCUGUGGGCUCAACCCACAAACCGCUUUUCAUACUGGCGAGCUGGAGUGAUGCAGAGGUGGAUAGAAUUCCCGGUGUAGCGGUGAAAUGCGUUGAUAUCGGGAGGAAUACCCGUGGCGAAGGCGGUCCACUGGGCAUCAACUGACGCUGAGGCGCGAAAGCGUGGGUAGCAAACAGGAUUAGAUACCCCGGUAGUCC